Cricetulus griseus (Chinese hamster) is the source of this 240-nucleotide unclassified non-coding RNA. Its record names the gene 7SK. It matches the Rfam family "7SK RNA". Rfam says of the family: 7SK was discovered as an abundant small nuclear RNA in the mid-70s but a possible function has only recently been suggested. Two independent studies have found that 7SK RNA binds the CDK9/cyclin T complex (known as elongation factor P-TEFb). NCBI's taxonomy places the organism in Eukaryota, Metazoa, Chordata, Mammalia, Rodentia, Cricetidae. The record is from Ensembl.
GUAUGUGAGGGUGAUCUGAACCUACUGGUUGUCAGGGUUGACUGAAAUGAUCUGGUUGGGUAAGUGGAUAUCCCCUUCAUUCCUUACUGAUUCAGCUGUGUCCCUCCCAAAGCUGUGCUUCCCUCCAAAAAACCCUUCAAAAACAAUCUUUGGGCUAGGGAUGUAGUCCAGUGGUGAGGGACUCGUGUUAGGCAUUAGGUCUGCUUCACAACUGAUGAUUACAAUUUUCUGGGUCUUAUC